GGAAGAGGGGCGCUUGUCAAGUCCGUGCUCACCGCUCAGGUCAUUUACCACAUCAUCGCCCUUAAGCCUCCCGUGGGCACCCUGCUAAACAUCACAAAGUUGGAGAGGGCUUUCCUAUGGGCGGGCACCAAUAAGACAACUGGGGCCAAGUGUAAGGUUAACUAGAGCUCAGUCUGUCGACCGACUGACCUCGGAGGGCUUGGCGUCCUAGACUUGGCCAAGUUUGCGAGAGCCCUCCGGCUUAGAUGGCUGUGGUUCGAGUGGAUUGAGCCUUCCAAUAUGUGGAUUGGAAUGGACAACCCCUGUGACGAGCUUGACCAAGAUCUAUUCUAUGCCUCUACGCGCAUCACCAUUGGCAACGGGGCAUGUGCGCCAUUUUGGGACUCCUCUUGGGUUAAUGGCGAGAAACCUUCCAGCAUAACACCUCUCAUCUUCGAGGCUUCCACGAGGAAGAAAUGGAAGGUCCGGGAGGCCAUGCAUGCGGACGCGUGGCUGUCCAAAAUCAAGCUCCCCAUCAACUGGACAAUGGACCACACCCGACAGCUCGUUACUCUAUGGGCUCGGUUGAGGGCCAUCACCCUUGCGGUGGACGCUGACGACACCAUCUCUUGGAAGCAUACCAACAGCGGAAUCUACUCCGCCACCUCGGCAUACAGUGCACAACUGCUUGGGACAGUCAACUCGCCCUUGGGCUUCGCCGUUUGGAAAGUCUCCCCCCCCCAAGAUGAAAUUCUAUGCUUGGCUGGCAAUUCAAAGCCGAGUUUGGACGGCGGAUAG
This 777-nucleotide ribosomal RNA is filed under the name Triticum aestivum (bread wheat). RNAcentral's name for it is "partial small subunit ribosomal RNA". The record is from RNAcentral. Lineage: Eukaryota; Viridiplantae; Streptophyta; Magnoliopsida; Poales; Poaceae.